CCCUACCCCAACACUAAAUAUAUACCAGCCACAAUCCUACACUAACACUAACCCUAAUGUUGACCAUAACCCUAGUGCAGAGGGAAUCUCUCUGCUGAUAUCAGUACUAACAUCAACAGAAUGUUUUUCUCUACAUACACAGUACAAAGCACUAUUUGAGCAUCAUCUACCAUCAGUUCCCCCAUUCGUGUUGCACAUCUGGAG
Molecule: non-coding RNA, 204 nt
Organism: Pelobates cultripes (western spadefoot toad)
Lineage: Eukaryota; Metazoa; Chordata; Amphibia; Anura; Pelobatidae
Source: the annotation of a GenBank genome assembly